This 253-nucleotide ribosomal RNA is filed under the name uncultured bacterium. Its description in RNAcentral is "partial 16S ribosomal RNA". It matches the Rfam family "Bacterial small subunit ribosomal RNA", at positions 524 to 776 of the family's 1533-position model. The record is from RNAcentral.
GACAGAGGGUGCAAACGUUGUUCGGAAUUACUGGGCGUAAAGCGCGCGUAGGCAGCAGUGUGUGUCGGGCGUGAAAUCCCAUGGCUCAACCGUGGAAGUGCACUCGAAACUGCGCAGCUAGAGUCUCGGAGAGGAAGGCGGAAUGCUUGGUGUAGAGGUGAAAUUCGUAGAUAUCAAGCGGAACACCGGUGGCGAAGGCGGCCUUCUGGGCGAUGACUGACGCUGAGGCGCGAAAGCGUGGGGAGCAAACAGG